ACGACCUUACUUGAACAGGAUCUGUUCUAUAGGCUCGUACCAUUGCAUCCUUGAUUUCUAAGGAGACAGGAAACCAAGUCUGGUGGAUGAAUCAUUGCCAUUAGACUAGAGCGUGAUUAAACAGCACCAGUGCCCGUUGGGGCUCAUGGGCGCAGUAGAUGAUCGUUCUCAGCUAACAAUCAUGGUGCCUGAGAUGGUUUAAUGGCUGUCUGACAGACU
Small nucleolar RNA from Solanum pennellii, 219 nucleotides. RefSeq annotates it as small nucleolar RNA U3. The record is from RefSeq and is a predicted model, not a curated record. The transcript has a single exon. NCBI's taxonomy places the organism in Eukaryota, Viridiplantae, Streptophyta, Magnoliopsida, Solanales, Solanaceae.